This 69-nucleotide transfer RNA is filed under the name Roseburia inulinivorans. It matches the Rfam family "tRNA". Rfam says of the family: Transfer RNA (tRNA) molecules are approximately 80 nucleotides in length. Their secondary structure includes four short double-helical elements and three loops (D, anti-codon, and T loops). RNAcentral also lists the same sequence under 8 other names. The record is from RNAcentral. Lineage: Bacteria; Bacillati; Bacillota; Clostridia; Lachnospirales; Lachnospiraceae.
GGGUGUGGCUCAGCUUGGCUAGAGCGCCUGGUUUGGGACCAGGAGGUCGCAGGUUCGAAUCCUGUCACC